CCUACGGGGGGCAGCAGUGAGGAAUAUUGGUCAAUGGGCGAGAGCCUGAACCAGCCAAGUCGCGUGAGGGAGUACUGCCCUAUGGGUUGUAAACCUCUUUUGUCGGGGAGCAAAAGCCGGACGUGUCCCGGCCCGGAGAGUACCCGGAGAAAAAGCAUCGGCUAACUCCGUGCCAGCAGCCGCGGUAAUACGGAGGAUGCGAGCGUUAUCCGGAUUUAUUGGGUUUAAAGGGUGCGUAGGCGGGCUUUUAAGUCAGCGGUAAAAAUUCGGGGCUCAACCCCGUCCGGCCGUUGAAACUGGGGGCCUUGAGUGGGCGAGAAGAAGGCGGAAUGCGUGGUGUAGCGGUGAAAUGCAUAGAUAUCACGCAGAACCCCGAUUGCGAAGGCAGCCUUCCAGCGCCCUACUGACGCUGAGGCACGAAAGUGCGGGGAUCGAACAGGAUUAGAUACCCGGGUAGUC
RNAcentral lists this ribosomal RNA (459 nucleotides) under uncultured bacterium. RNAcentral's name for it is "partial 16S ribosomal RNA". It matches the Rfam family "Bacterial small subunit ribosomal RNA", at positions 338 to 795 of the family's 1533-position model. The record is from RNAcentral.